GACUGUACAUGCUAGUCAAAGCCGAGGAGGUCACAUCUUUGCCACACUGAGUUGCAUCCUCUCCAGGCUCUGUACAGAUGUGAAUGCAAAAGCACAGCAAGUCAUCACUUUGGCUCCCCUGUGAUCUUUUAACAGCCAUUUUCUACAACAUGAUUCAGUAAAGUUUCAAUAGGGUACAAAACAUUAGGAGUAGGGCUGUUGUUUAUGAGAGUUUGAGAAUGUUUUUUGAAACAGAAAAGACCGAAGUGUAAUAUCCAGAUGAUUAAGUGCACCCAUUUGCAGGGCAGCAUGUUCAGCUGGACUCUCAAGCUUCAUUCCUUUGUAUCAUUAGUUGUGGAUGGUCCUUUGGGGCUAAGAUCGGGUGCUGUCCCCCAGCAAGAACAACUCAGCAAGGAGGAGGAUGGUGGGGACCCUUGCAAGGUCAGGGAGAGGCAGCUGGCAACACUGGGAGCAGGCUGGAGGGGGGCAUACCUGCUCUUGUGUCCUGCAGAUGUUCUGAUCUCCCUUGUCUUCAGCUGAAGUGGAGGAAGGACUAAAAAGGGGUGAAUUUCAUCCUUCUAUUUCACACCAAAAUGAUUGAUGUCUCAAUAUGGUUUAGCACAUAGUUUCUGUAAUUCCUGGGUUUUGAGAAGAUUGCUGGGGCCAAGGGGAGUGGGGCACUCAGAGAAGCUUGCCUUCAAACCUGAUGUGUCACAUGCACUGUGAGCGCUGUGGUCUCAGGGAAACUGUGUGCAUGGCUGGGGGAUUCCCUUCCAGGCAUGACCCACCUCCCUUGCUCACCUUCCCCAACAUACUCCCCAUUUAGCUAAGUUUGAGGCAUGAUUUGUUGAGUUCUAGCUUUUGGACAUUAUCCCAGAGCCUUUCAUUCCUUCAGUGUCAGCUCAACUGUGUCUCCUUUUCAGCAUCGUGCUGUGAGUCAUGGUAGGCACCAGCGACCAGGGCAGACUCCUCUCAGCAGCCCCCCUUCCAAAUAGGUGUUAGGUGGAAGGUAACUCUGCAAGAGGAAGGUAGGAAACAGCAGGUGACAGCCUCAUGAAUUGGUCUCUCCAGCAUCAGUGCUCAGUGGGUAACAAAUGGGAAUGCAUCCGCACCAGGUAUGACUCCCUGCCAUGCCUUGCUGCACAGCCUUGCUGCUGCUGAGACCCUCCUCUCCCUCUGCAUUGCACAGACAUCAUCCCAGAGUGUGCUUGGGCCCUUGCAAUUGCUGUACUCUGGGACUGCACUAUCACAAACUCUACACAUAAAAGCCUCAGAUCCAGAGAAGCACCCAGAGACAAAACUGAAGACUCCAAAGAACAGUCUACGAGAAACACCACAAGAGCUUGCACAAGGUUGAGAAUGAAUCCAGCAGUAUGUACACAGUCUCUGGUCUUUACAGAGAGCUGUGGUGUUCGCUCAACACCAGUUUUGCAAAGCCCAGACAAGUGUACAGUGUUCCUAUGGAGGAGCGCAUGGAUGGCCUGUGCGCUGAGUUCAGUACUCUCUAUGGUGGAGGCUGCAGCUAAAAGAAGAGUGUUUCAGCAAAAAUCAUGACAAGCCAGGGUGCACUCAGCCAGACUUUCCUAUGCAUCUGUAGGGGCUAUUAACCCUCUGUGGGAAGAGAAGACACCACUAACAACUUCCACAGAAGAAAGAAAAGAUGGACUCCAUUAUUUAAUUGCCAACUGAGAACAGGCUGUUGGAAGCUGAUGGGUUGGACAGCGUCAGGAGGGCAGAGGACAGCAAUGCAGUCACUAAAACUCAUUACACAUUUUGGAGAGCUCUGAGACAAAGGACCUGAAUCAGAGGUGGCUGUAAACUGUUUGUGUAGAGGCUGGACUAUCUCACAACAUCUUUCAGGCUGCCAUACAGGCUAUAUCUUGCUUGAGAAGGAGAGAUUGCAGGGAGGUAGCCUGUUACGGGCUGUAAUAUUGUAGUUCAAAGCAGUAGCUGUUCAUGUGAGUUGGUGCUAACAGCUUCAUGAAAGGUCACAGAUGCCUCUGCCCUACACAAAAUUCCAUCCUCGCUUCAUUAUUUGCUCUUUUUACUACAGACUCCUCUGAGCUGUAAGCCCCCACGCAGAGCUCUGCUCGGGAAAACCGCCGAGAGCAGCUCCCUGGAGAUGUGUGCUGUGUGUCUGCAACAGAGAGGAGGGAAAUGAGACCAGCCAGGGAGCAGCUGCGGAAGAAUGGAGGGAAAUGGCCUUCGGGUAGAUAUUUGGAUGAGAAGGAAAUGCCAAGCCCUAAGCCCAUCAACGGGACAGUGCAGGUAAAACAGGGAGCCCUCUCAAGGUGCGAGAGCCCUCCAGGGCCUGCUCAGCACCAUAUUCUCCUGCAAGGGGAUAGGAGCUCGUUGCUUGAGACCCCAUGAAACAGCCCGACAGAUCCCAUCCAGGGGAGAAGAGGCAGCGAGAUGCAGCACCUUGUUGCUCAGAUCACUCAGGUACAGACCAGGCAAACCUGCACUGGCUUUUUAAUCAUCACUGCUUACAGAAGGAAUCUGCUGCUAUGAGGAAAAUAAAAACAAAAACUCUAUGCUCCAGUUGGCCAUCUUGUUUUGCAUUUAGUAGGUGAUUUCACAGAGCUCACAGUAUUUGCACUGUAGUCCUGAUGAGUUUAUAAUGGAGACAUUUUUGAAGAAAUAAUUGCUUGAAUAGGACUACGUGAGGAACUUCAGGACAUGCAAGCCCUUCUUUAAGUUACAGCUAAUGACAGUAGUCCUUAGCUGGCAUCAAAACAUGCAAGUAUGCAAGCUCCAUGGCUGGAUUUGUGAAUAAAAAGAGUGGCUGCUCUUCUGAGAUGUGGUUGUUGCUGUGGAAGAAGAAAUUUGGGGAACUGCUCACCCUACUGCCCUGUCUUUCCCCACUAGGUGAUGAGGGCAAAUCCCUCCUCCAAGGUUUGGUGUUCAUGAAUAAACAGUUAAACAUUGAGUAGCUCCUCCUUUUCUUGACUCAAGAGCUAUCCACGCAGCCUGCGUUAGCAGGUGGCUGGAUAGCAGCUGGCAGGCAAAAGGCCAAACGAGGUUCCAGGAGAAAUGAAUCUAGCUCUCACAUUUGGUACCUUCCUCCAGAAGAUAGCUACCAGUGCAGGUUUAGGUAGAACAGGAAUGUGGAGGAACCAUGCAGCCAAGUGUACUUAUACCUCCCAGGAUCCAUGAAUGUGGCUGAAAGAACCCUCAUCUGAUAGGAAAGGACUCUUCAGAAACCCAGAGCAGACCUAGUUGAUAGCUCAGAUGUGCUCCAAAAAUCAAGCCCCGGGGUUCAAAUGGGAAACACUCAUGACAUGAAUGGAGUCAAGUCAGGAAGAGCCUUCAGACCAAAAGCAGGCUAUCAUGAAUGAGUUAAAAUUCUUUCGUUUGCUUCAUGAAAUUUAUUGAAAACUACACUGUUCAUCUGCUGAAACUUCACAGCUGUUAAGAUUGCCCUCAGGGCAAACCACAUCCAAGAAAUGGCAUGCAGAUCUUGGGAGCACAAGACUUGAAAGCUGAAACUUCACUCUGUAGUGCUGCCUUUGGUUACCUUGCAGUCACGUCUAACCAUCUGUUUUUCAGUUAGACGAUGCUUUUUUUUUUU
Long non-coding RNA from Rhea pennata, 3550 nucleotides. RefSeq lists it as uncharacterized. NCBI's taxonomy places the organism in Eukaryota, Metazoa, Chordata, Aves, Rheiformes, Rheidae. The record is from RefSeq and is a predicted model, not a curated record. The transcript is spliced from 4 exons.